This 711-nucleotide ribosomal RNA is filed under the name Triticum aestivum (bread wheat). RNAcentral describes it as "partial small subunit ribosomal RNA". The record is from RNAcentral. Lineage: Eukaryota; Viridiplantae; Streptophyta; Magnoliopsida; Poales; Poaceae.
AUGCAUAUAUGCAUGGAUCAAGGGAGCCAAUUGGGGAUGGCUUACUGUCUUCCUAACCUCAGUGUGCCAGAUCACUACUACACCACACCUGUUCCUCUUUCUCCACUUCAACUACCCUUCCAUCCCAAGCCUCUCCAGAUGCCAUUCGACCAGGAAGAAGCCUUGAUGCUCUCUUCUGACCAUUGUGGGCUAUACCCGCUGCCGGCGCUUCCGCUCGGCAGCGGCCACUCCGCCGGCGCGCCUGCCAUCGUCUGCGAGAAGCCCACGGUCGGUUUCAUGCCUAAUAUUGGGGCUGAGGAGGUGGGCACGUCGGUGACGGCAAGAGUUGGCUAUGAGGGUGCCACUGCCUGUAAUGGUUAUUCUAGUAAUACAUGGUGGAGGGGCUCGACGAUGUUGGCGGGGGAGAAGGGGAAGAUGAAGGUGAGGAGGAAGAUGAGGGAGCCGAGGUUUUGCUUCCAGACCAGAAGCGACGUGGAUGUACUUGACGAUGGCUACAAGUGGAGGAAAUACGGGCAGAAGGUUGUCAAGAACAGUCUGCAUCCCAGGAGCUACUUCAGGUGCACGCACAGCAACUGCCGCGUGAAGAAGCGCGUGGAGCGGCUGUCGACGGACUGCCGCAUGGUGAUCACCACGUACGAGGGCCGCCACACGCACCCCCCCUGCGACGACAAUUCCUCCUCCUCCGGCGACAACACCACCACCUGCUUCUGA